Molecule: long non-coding RNA, 2612 nt
Organism: Metopolophium dirhodum (rose-grain aphid)
Lineage: Eukaryota; Metazoa; Arthropoda; Insecta; Hemiptera; Aphididae
Exons: 3
Source: RefSeq, a predicted model, not a curated record
CUGACUCCUAUGUGUAUUGGCAUGUUCAUCAUUAAAUAUUAAUUAUCGUUAUAUAUGUACUAUAGUUGUACACAAUUUAAUAUUAUCCCGAGAAAUAUUUAAAUAAAUGUUUUACUUUCAAUUUAUUAAUAAAUUCUAUUUUAUUCAUAAUUAAUCAAUAAUACUAAAAUUACUUUUUAUUUAUAAUAACCUCUACCCUCUCUAAGUUCAUAAAUUGGAAGUAGUGUCGAUGGACGCUCGGUCCCCUCACGCGGCCUCAAAAAAAAUAUAUUGAUCGUCCAUGCAGUCAAUGUGUGGUCCUAUGAUGGUGAAGUACUUCAUGCCUUGCGGAGGAGACGCGUACGGUAUGUCGAGAGUGACCUGCGGAAAAGACAAGUCUCUGACCAGGCGUAAAAACAAACAACGAAGACGGUUUGCCAACACGCGAACUGGAAACGUACAGCUGACCGUGCGAAAAACAUGGAAAUUCGAGAUUGGUCCCACAGACUUCCAACGAUUGGCCUUGCGAACUAUUGCACAAAGUGUACGUCGUCCAGGGUUUGAUCGUCUAGUAGAAGGCAUUACUCAAACAAUCAUAUUCAAAAGAAAAUAUUCUUAAAAAGAAAAAAAUUACGUAAUGAAUGUUUCGCAAUUAAUGCUUGCAAUCCUAUCCAAUAGGAUUAAACACGUAGGUAUUGUUCUAAUGUUCUAGUAUUACGUCAUCUUCACGGUGAUUCCAAAAAGUGUAUUUCACUCCGUAUGGCAUCGCCUAGGAAUUGUUGAAUCAUAUAUAUGAUAUCGUGCGCAUGUGUGUUAUUCACAUAGAUCUCAUAAAAAAAAAUUGGGUUCUUAACCAAAAUUUUCUUUUGAAAAACUUUCUCCUGGCAAUUACCAAUAAGUGGAAAAAAAUUUAGCCAUAUCAGCCAAGCCGUUCUCAAUUGAUGAAUUACUAUAUACAAUAUAUAUUUACACAUGAGUAUUAUAGUAGGCACUAGAAUAAAUAUAAGAAAUUACAAUUAUAUUCUAUGUUAUAAUUUGUGCAUAGAUAUUAUUUAGUAUAAUUAUCCUUAUUAGGUUCAUAAAGUUUAAUAACUCAGAAACCACACUUCCAAAUGUUCAAAAAAAUAAUCUGCUUGACAGUUCAAAAUAAAUAGGAUAGUUCUCAUUUUAAUACAAGACACUUCUAUACACUUCUCAAAUGAUAUUAGAAAGAAUCUAAAUAUCUAAAAAUAUAGUCUUUGAGUAGGUUUCUAUACAACAAAAUUCUAAACAUCAAAAUUUGCAUUAUUAUAGGGUAAAAAUGGGGGGGAGGGGGUGAAUGCUAGGGAAUGUGAUAUCCUACACAUGUUUGUACUAUACAGUAUUGUAUAAAAUUUAUGAUACAAUCGCUUAAGACUUUUUUUUUUUAAAUGGCGUUUAUUGAAAUGUACAAUCCGUACAUUAUAAACAAUAAGUAAAUAUGAUAUGGUAUAAUAAAAUAAUAUAAAAAUGGCUUUGAGUAACGUGUAGGAAGGCUCGCAGUCGAGUCAUCUUUUACAAUGGAUUAAAAUUUUUAUGAGUAAUAUAAAGACUUAUAACUAUUAACAUAAUUAUUUAGCAAUUUUAUUUAAUAAUCGGUACUAUGAAUAAGAUUGACAAAUAUAUCACUAUGAACACAGAAUACAUUUAUUCUUUGCUAUGACGUCAUUAUGUUCAUUUUUAAUAAUAAACAAACACGAUUACAUUUUUUUUUAGUAUUUUUAAUCAGUAUAUUUAUUUUCUGUAAGUACUCAGGCUAUUCAGAUAAAAUAAUCGAUUUACAACCAUUAAUAUCAAAAGCUUCCGUCAGUCACCACUCAAACUUAUUAAAAAGUUCAAAGAAAAAAAUACUGAUUAAAAAUGUUAUUGUUGAACUAACUUUUUUUUAGAGAUUAUCUACCUAUUUAAUUAACUGAAAAUCUGUAAAAUCUUAUUUAUUUUAUAAUCAAGUGCCGAAACAGUUAAUACUUUUAAUAAUUUAUAGUAAUAAUAGUAAUUACUAAUUAGGUACUAUAUAUUUUAGUAUUCGAAUUAGCCGAAAAUUCUAAAAGAAUUAUAGUACUCGUGAGAUAUAAUAUACAGUUGUGCAUAUCAAAGAGUACAAGUACGGUAAAUUGUCAUUAAUAUGCAUUGAAUCAAUGUACUAAAUACAAAUAAUAUUAUGUUAAUACUUUGCAAUCUAAUCUAUAAUAUUAUUUGUUAUACGAGUUAAUCGUGUAACACAUUUAGUUAUGACGUUGGGUUAUUUAUUUGUGAAGUUUUCGAUUAACUUAUGUGUACGAUGCACCGAUAUGAACAUCGCUACAAAGCUAUACAUUUUAAGUUAUUGAGAUAAUAAAUAUUAUACACUAUACGCGUAUUUACUUUAUAGGUAGAAUAUUUAUUUUCUACUCACAACGUUUUAUUAUAAUAUGCUUUGUCUUUGGAUUAUUCUUUAUAUUAUUCUGAAUAUUGUGAUUUGUAAUGCAAAUUUUUAUAAUUAGACUUCAGUGGCUGCCAACGAGAUAGUACCUGUUACAUACGCGUUUUUGUGUUUAUUAUUUAAGUAUUAUAUUAUGUACCUAUUAAUUUUUGUAUUGUAUUAACUAUUGAUACAAUACGUCAGUAUGACAGGA